This is a long non-coding RNA of Chloebia gouldiae (Gouldian finch), 628 nucleotides long. The record is from Ensembl. NCBI's taxonomy places the organism in Eukaryota, Metazoa, Chordata, Aves, Passeriformes, Passeridae.
GUGGGAUUAAAGCAAUGCUUUCAUAUGCAUAGAGAGACUACCAUAACAUCUCAAGAUAGUUUCCAUCUCUAAUCUUAGUUCUCCCGAGACCAGUUCUGGAGUCCACAUCUUUUCCUUUCCUGAAAACCACGAGGACAGUGAUGGCAACUGAGAGACCAGACCUGGAAUGGACCUCGUCUGCCUCACGGGGAACCACAAGGAUGGCUGCUCGAAGACCGAGGCCGAAGUCCAGCACUCCUUCCUCCCCGGCAGCUCAACAGACUGGCAUGGCCUCACAUGACUUUCUUCAUGUUACUUCCACUCCCCAAACUUCUACAUCUACAAAAAUGCCAGAGCGAGAGACUGCUACCCUGGAAUCAGGCCUGAAAAUCACUCCUCACCCCUCCAUGGAAACCAGAGAGAGCGUGAUGGCUUUUGAUGAAACUCAGCACAUUUCUUCAAGACCUGAAACAUCAGGCAUCCAAGAAAUACCAUCAGCUAUACCUGUUCUCCCGAGACCAGUUCUGGAGUCCACAUCUUUUCCUUUCCUGAAAACCACGAGGACAGUGAUGGGUAAAGAGUUAUUCCAUCCUAAUGUCUAUCAUUUCACAGUACUUAAAUAAGAAAAGCUGUAUUUCAAAAUUUAGUC